Molecule: ribosomal RNA, 253 nt
Filed under: uncultured bacterium
Lineage: Bacteria
Description: partial 16S ribosomal RNA
Rfam family: Bacterial small subunit ribosomal RNA
Source: RNAcentral
UACGUAGGAGGCAAGCGUUGUCCGGAAUUACUGGGUGUAAAGCGCGUGUAGGUGGGAGGCCAAGUCUGUGGUGAAAGCGCCCGGCUCAACUGGGCAGAGUCCAUGGAAACUGGUCACCUGGAGGACGGUAGAGGCGAGUGGAAUUCCCGGUGUAGUGGUGAAAUGCGUAGAUAUUGGGAGGAACACCAGUGGCGAAGGCGGCUCACUGGACUGGUACUGACGCUGAGGCGCGAAAGCGUGGGGAGCAAACGGG